CUCAUCUAUCUUUAAUAUCAGCUCAUUAAACCACUGGUGAUGUUUAUCCUGGUCCAAGCCGACCUGCUCCAUCACUCCUUCCUGGUUCCUGCAUCCAGCUGGUCCUCCAGUAGGGGUUAGUAGUAAUAAGUGGUACAUCAGCCGCUCCCACUCUGGAAUCCAAAUCAGUGUGAGUGUGAUCAUGUGAGUAGUGUGUGUGUAUUGUGUGUGUGUAGUGUGUGUAGUGUGUGUAUUGUGUGUGUGUAGUGUGUGUGUAGUGUGUGUAGUGUAUGUGUAGUUUGUGUAGUGUGUCUGUAGUGUAUGUGUAGUGUGUGUGUAGUGUGUAUGUAUUAUGUGUAGUGUGUGUAGUGUAUGUAUUGUGUGUAGUGUGUGUAGUGUGUAUGUAGUGUGUGUAGUGUGUGUAGUGUAUAUGUAUUGUGUGUAGUGUGCGUAGUGUAUAUGUAUUGUGUGUAGUGUGUGUGUAGUGUGUGUAGUGUGUAUGUAGUCUGUGCGUAGUGUGUAUGUAGUGUGUAUGUAGUUUGUGUAGUGUGUGUAGUGUGUGUGGUGUGUAUGUAGUGUGUGUAGUGUGUGUGUAGUGCAUGUGUAGUUUGUGUAGUGUGUGUAGUGUGUGUAGUGUGUAUGUAGUGUGUGUAGUGUGUUUGUGUAGUGUGUGUAGUGUGUGUGUAGUGUGUGUGUAGUGUGUGUAGUGUGUAUGUAGUGUGUGUAGUGUGUGUGUAGUGUGUAUGUAGUGUGUGUAGUGUGUGUGUGUAGUGUGCAUGUUAGUGUGUGUAGUGUGUGUGUAGUGUGUGUAGUGUGUGUGUAGUGUGUAUGUAGUGUGUGUAGGUGUGUGUAGUGUGUAUGUAGUGUGUGUAGUGUGUAUGUAGUGUGUGUAGUGUGUGUGUAGUGUGUAUGUAGUGUGUAUGUAGUGUGUGUGUAGUGUGUAUGUAGUGUGUUGUAGUGUGUAUGUAGUGUGUGUAGUGUGUGUAGUGUGUGUGUAGUGUGCAUGUAGUGUGUGUAGUGUGUGUGUAGUGUGUGUAGUGUAUAUGUAUUGUGUGUAGUGUGUUUAAUGUAUGUGUAGCUUGUGUAGUGUGUGUAGUGUGUAUGUAGUGUGUGUGUAGUUUGUGUAGUGUGUGUAGUGUGUGUGUAGUGUGUAUGUAGUGUGUGUGUAGUGUGUAUGUAGUGUGUGUAGUGUGUGUGUAGUGUGUAUGUAGUGUGUGUGUAGUGUGUGUGUAGUUUG
Ictalurus punctatus (channel catfish) is the source of this 1216-nucleotide long non-coding RNA. The record is from Ensembl. NCBI's taxonomy places the organism in Eukaryota, Metazoa, Chordata, Actinopteri, Siluriformes, Ictaluridae.